UCGGGAAUUUUGGACAAUGGGCGCAAGCCUGAUCCAGCCAUGCCGCGUGCAGGAUGACGGUCCUAUGGAUUGUAAACUGCUUUUUGUACAGGAAGAAACAGUUCUACGUGUAGAACCUUGACGGUACUGUAAGAAUAAGGAUCGGCUAACUCCGUGCCAGCAGCCGCGGUAAUACGGAGGAUCCAAGCGUUAUCCGGAAUCAUUGGGUUUAAAGGGUCCGUAGGCGGUUAGAUAAGUCAGUGGUGAAAGCCCAUCGCUCAACGGUGGAACGGCCAUUGAUACUGUCUGACUUGAAUUAUUGGGAAGUAACUAGAAUAUGUAGUGUAGCGGUGAAAUGCUUAGAGAUUACAUGGAAUACCAAUUGCGAAGGCAGGUUACUACUAAUGGAUUGACGCUGAUGGACGAAAGCGUGGGUAGCGAACAGGAUUAGAUACCCUUGUAGUCCCUGAGCGGGCUGGCAAGGCGCAU
RNAcentral lists this ribosomal RNA (468 nucleotides) under uncultured bacterium. Its description in RNAcentral is "bacterial SSU rRNA". It matches the Rfam family "Bacterial small subunit ribosomal RNA", at positions 355 to 825 of the family's 1533-position model. The record is from RNAcentral.